Molecule: microRNA, 21 nt
Filed under: Brassica rapa (field mustard)
Lineage: Eukaryota; Viridiplantae; Streptophyta; Magnoliopsida; Brassicales; Brassicaceae
Description: bra-miR5719
Source: miRBase by way of RNAcentral
UUGUGAUGAUAAUACGACUUC